GCCUUCAUGGUGCAACGGUAGCACACUUGGCUCGUAUUCGAGAGGUCCAAGUUCGAUCCUGGAGAGAGCA
RNAcentral lists this transfer RNA (70 nucleotides) under Stegodyphus mimosarum. It matches the Rfam family "tRNA". Rfam says of the family: Transfer RNA (tRNA) molecules are approximately 80 nucleotides in length. Their secondary structure includes four short double-helical elements and three loops (D, anti-codon, and T loops). The record is from Rfam by way of RNAcentral. Lineage: Eukaryota; Metazoa; Arthropoda; Arachnida; Araneae; Eresidae.